Molecule: ribosomal RNA, 253 nt
Filed under: uncultured bacterium
Lineage: Bacteria
Description: partial 16S ribosomal RNA
Rfam family: Bacterial small subunit ribosomal RNA
Source: RNAcentral
UACGGAGGGUGCAAGCAUUGAUCGGAAUUACUGGGCGUAAAGGGCGCGUAGGCGGUAGAAUAAGUCAGAUGUGAAAUUCCGGGGCUCAACCCCGGAGCUGCAUUUGAAACUGUUCAGCUAGAGUUCAGUUAGGGUAAACGGAAUUCCACGUGUAGCGGUGAAAUGCGUAGAUAUGUGGAAGAACACCGGUGGUGAAGACGGUUUACUGGGCUGAUACUGACGCUGAGGCGCGAAAGCAUGGGGAGCAAACAGG